This 405-nucleotide ribosomal RNA is filed under the name uncultured bacterium. RNAcentral's name for it is "bacterial SSU rRNA". It matches the Rfam family "Bacterial small subunit ribosomal RNA", at positions 354 to 776 of the family's 1533-position model. The record is from RNAcentral.
GUGGGGAAUAUUGGACAAUGGGCGAAAGCCUGAUCCAGCAAUGCCGCGUGAGUGAUGAAGGCCUUAGGGUUGUAAAGCUCUUUUACCCGGGAUGAUAAUGACAGUACCGGGAGAAUAAGCCCCGGCUAACUCCGUGCCAGCAGCCGCGGUAAUACGGAGGGGGCUAGCGUUGUUCGGAAAUACUGGGCGUAAAGCGAACGUAGGCGGCGUGGCAAGUCAGGGGUGAAAUCCCGGAGCUCAACUCCGGAACUGCCUUUGAAACUGCUAUGCUAGAAUCCUGGAGAGGCGAGUGGAAUUCCGAGUGUAGAGGUGAAAUUCGUAGAUAUUCGGAAGAACACCAGUGGCGAAGGCGACUCGCUGGACAGGUAUUGACGCUGAGGUUCGAAAGCGUGGGGAGCAAACAGG